GACGAACGCUGGCGGCGUGCUUAACACAUGCAAGUCGAACGGAAAGGCCCUGCUUUUGUGGGGUGCUCGAGUGGCGAACGGGUGAGUAACACGUGAGUAACCUGCCCUUGACUUUGGGAUAACUUCAGGAAACUGGGGCUAAUACCGGAUAGGAGCUCCUGCUGCAUGGUGGGGGUUGGAAAGUUUCGGCGGUUGGGGAUGGACUCGCGGCUUAUCAGCUUGUUGGUGGGGUAGUGGCUUACCAAGGCUUUGACGGGUAGCCGGCCUGAGAGGGUGACCGGCCACAUUGGGACUGAGAUAGGCCCCAGACUCCUACGGGAGGCAGCAGUGGGGAAUAUUGCACAAUGGGCGGAAGCCUGAUGCAGCAACGCCGCGUGCGGGAUGACGGCCUUCGGGUUGUAAACCGCUUUCGCCUGUGACGAAGCGUGAGUGACGGUAAUGGGUAAAGAAGCACCGGCUAACUACGUG
This 468-nucleotide ribosomal RNA is filed under the name uncultured bacterium. RNAcentral describes it as "partial 16S ribosomal RNA". It matches the Rfam family "Bacterial small subunit ribosomal RNA", at positions 28 to 507 of the family's 1533-position model. The record is from RNAcentral.